UCUGAUUUUCAGUACGAAUA
Molecule: small nuclear RNA, 20 nt
Filed under: Arabidopsis thaliana (thale cress)
Lineage: Eukaryota; Viridiplantae; Streptophyta; Magnoliopsida; Brassicales; Brassicaceae
Description: snRNA_05833
Source: RNAcentral